RNAcentral lists this ribosomal RNA (903 nucleotides) under uncultured bacterium. RNAcentral's name for it is "bacterial SSU rRNA". It matches the Rfam family "Bacterial small subunit ribosomal RNA", at positions 33 to 916 of the family's 1533-position model. The record is from RNAcentral.
ACGCUGGCGGCGUGCCUAAUACAUGCAAGUCGAACGAGAAGCGACCGGUGCUUGCACUGGUCAAUCUAGUGGCGAACGGGUGAGUAACACGUGGGUAACCUGCCCAUCAGAGGGGGAUAACAUUCGGAAACGGAUGCUAAAACCGCAUAGGUCCUUUAACCGCAUGGUUGAAGGAGGAAAAGAGGCGCAAGCUUCUGCUGAUGGAUGGACCCGCGGUGCAUUAGCUAGUUGGUGAGGAACGGCUCACCAAGGCCGUGAUGCAUAGCCGACCUGAGAGGGUGAUCGGCCACAUUGGGACUGAGACACGGCCCAAACUCCUACGGGAGGCAGCAGUAGGGAAUCUUCCGCAAUGGACGCAAGUCUGACGGAGCAACGCCGCGUGAGUGAAGAAGGUUUUCGGAUCGUAAAACUCUGUUGUUAGAGAAGAACAAGUGCUAGAGUAACUGUUAGCGCCUUGACGGUAUCUAACCAGAAAGCCACGGCUAACUACGUGCCAGCAGCCGCGGUAAUACGUAGGUGGCAAGCGUUGUCCGGAUUUAUUGGGCGUAAAGCGAGCGCAGGCGGUUCCUUAAGUCUGACGUGAAAGCUCUCGGCUCCACCGGGGAGGGUCAUUGGAAACUGGGGAACUUGAGUGCAGAAGAGGAGAGUGGAAUUCCAUGUGUAGCGGUGAAAUGCGUAGAUAUAUGGAGGAACACCAGUGGCGAAGGCGACUCUCUGGUCUGUAACUGACGCUGAGGCUCGAAAGCGUGGGUAGCAAACAGGAUUAGAUACCCUGGUAGUCCACGCCGUAAACGAUGAGUGCUAAGUGUUGGAGGGUUUCCGCCCUUCAGUGCUGCAGUUAACGCAUUAAGCACUCCGCCUGGGGAGUACGACCGCAAGGUUGAAACUCAAAGGAAUUGACGG